This 76-nucleotide transfer RNA is filed under the name Roseibacillus persicicus. Its description in RNAcentral is "tRNA-Leu". It matches the Rfam family "tRNA". Rfam says of the family: Transfer RNA (tRNA) molecules are approximately 80 nucleotides in length. The record is from RNAcentral. Lineage: Bacteria; Pseudomonadati; Verrucomicrobiota; Verrucomicrobiia; Verrucomicrobiales; Verrucomicrobiaceae.
GCCUGCGUAGCCCAAUGGCAGAGGCGGCCGGCUUAGACCCGGUCUGGUGUUGGUUCGAGUCCAACCGCAGGUACCA